ACGCUCGACACCUACAGGAGGCAGCAGUGGGGAAUAUUGCACAAUGGGGGAAACCCUGAUGCAGCGACGCCGCGUGAAGGAAGAAGUAUUUCGGUAUGUAAACUUCUAUCAGCAGGGAAGAAACUGACGGUACCUGACUAAGAAGCACCGGCUAAAUACGUGUCAGCAGCCGCGGUAAUCUGAGCGGGCUGGCAAGGC
RNAcentral lists this ribosomal RNA (198 nucleotides) under uncultured bacterium. RNAcentral's name for it is "partial 16S ribosomal RNA". It matches the Rfam family "Bacterial small subunit ribosomal RNA", at positions 328 to 539 of the family's 1533-position model. The record is from RNAcentral.